GGGAUUGUGACUCAGUGGUAGAGUACUUGCCUACUAUGUAUGAGGCACUGGGUUCAAUCUCU
This 62-nucleotide transfer RNA is filed under the name Ictidomys tridecemlineatus (thirteen-lined ground squirrel). Its description in RNAcentral is "Spermophilus tridecemlineatus (thirteen-lined ground squirrel) tRNA". It matches the Rfam family "tRNA". Rfam says of the family: Transfer RNA (tRNA) molecules are approximately 80 nucleotides in length. Their secondary structure includes four short double-helical elements and three loops (D, anti-codon, and T loops). The record is from Rfam by way of RNAcentral. Lineage: Eukaryota; Metazoa; Chordata; Mammalia; Rodentia; Sciuridae.